UCAGCUUUAUAAAUCCGGAGAUACGGAAACUA
RNAcentral lists this non-coding RNA (32 nucleotides) under Escherichia coli. The record is from RNAcentral. Lineage: Bacteria; Pseudomonadati; Pseudomonadota; Gammaproteobacteria; Enterobacterales; Enterobacteriaceae.